AGCCUCAUGGGGCCUCCCCGCAGCCCCCCCACCGGGCAGGCACGGGGUCUCUUCAAAAGCCAGUGUGUAUCGUGCGCCUCACCUGUGCCAGGAGCUCCUCCUGAUUCCUCCGACACAGUCGUGAAUGGGACAGAAGAACUUCCUCGCUCCUGGAGCGUUGCUGGCCGGUGGCGCAAGAUCACACGCGGCUUUGGCAGGAGGGUCAGGUUUUGGAGCAAGAAAAUGAUUUGUCGAGGUCUCCAGUUAAGAGAAUGUCUGGCAGAUGUGUUUAUAAGAAAUGGAGGAGAAGCAGUUUGGCAGAAAAUGCACUUUCUUUGGCUCCAGAUGGCCACUGUAGCCAGCCCAGGUCCACGUGGAAGGACGGCCAAGGCGGGACUCCUGGUACCUGGUGGGGGGAAUUCACUGUGCACAGCCAACCUGACCUGGGGAAGCAACCGGAUUAGAACCUGAAGGAUGACCAGCAUUUGUGCAGUAGAGGAGCCGUCUGGGACUGGCAGCAGCUGCUUUGUAAAUUGGUAUGGUAACCACCUGGUUCCGGUUGGUCUGGGACUUUCCUGAUUUUAGCACUGAAAUUCCCACGACUUGGGAAACCCCUCAGUGCUGAGCAAUCUGGAAUGGUUGGUCACCUUGCCAGGUUGCCCUUCACACUCGGGAAUUCCAGAACAUUUGGCUGGUGCGGCAGGCCCGUGGUCCUCAAGUUCAGAUGAAGAAUGACGACAUCGGCAGGCCUGCAUGGCCAGCUACCAAUGAGGACACCUGGUCCCCCUCAGACUGAGCCAAGAAUCAGUGCUUUCCCCAGGGCCUUUUUUUGUGUGUGUACAUUUAAGUUUGGAUAAAAUUCUCAGAUGAUAAAAUUCCAGUCCCAGGAGGGAGAUGGUGAUAACAGCCCCUGUGGUCUGGGUGUGGCAGGACAGGACCAUUUGUCUUGGGAUAAUAAAUGACCAUCUCAGGUUCCUUGUGCAUUAAAUAGAGAUAAUUAAAGGAUAUCCAGGCCCAGAGCCCCUGACGUCUACUGAAUGUCUGGUAAAUGUUACUUCUCCUUCUUUAGGCCUUGAGAGCCACUUCAAGAACUGAGCAUAAAAAGCAGUUUUGCUCAUGUAGCAAAAUAUUUUCCCAGGAGGACCCCAAUUAAAAAAGAAUCUUUCAUAAAGUUCUUGAACUGAGUAUCUGAAAAAUAAAGAAUGUGCCUUG
This 1191-nucleotide long non-coding RNA is filed under the name Ictidomys tridecemlineatus (thirteen-lined ground squirrel). RNAcentral describes it as "lncRNA (ENSSTOG00000033721.1)". Lineage: Eukaryota; Metazoa; Chordata; Mammalia; Rodentia; Sciuridae. The record is from RNAcentral.